CCUACGGGUGGCAGCAGUGGGGAAUAUUGCACAAUGGGGGGAACCCUGAUGCAGCGACGCCGCGUGGGUGAGGAAGUACUUCGGUAUGUAAAGCCCUAUCAGCAGGGAAGAAAAUGACGGUACCUGACUAAGAAGCCCCGGCUAACUACGUGCCAGCAGCCGCGGUAAUACGUAGGGGGCAAGCGUUAUCCGGAUUUACUGGGUGUAAAGGGAGCGUAGACGGCGUGCCAAGUCUGAUGUGAAAGGCCGGGGCUCAACCCCGGGACUGCAUUGGAAACUGGCAUGCUGGAGUGCCGGAGGGGCAAGCGGAAUUCCUAGUGUAGCGGUGAAAUGCAUAGAUAUCACACAGAACACCGAUUGCGAAGGCAUCUCACGAAUCCGCGAUUGACGCUGAUGCACGAAAGCGUGGGUAUCAAACAGGAUUAGAUACCCCUGUUC
RNAcentral lists this ribosomal RNA (438 nucleotides) under uncultured bacterium. RNAcentral's name for it is "partial 16S ribosomal RNA". It matches the Rfam family "Bacterial small subunit ribosomal RNA", at positions 338 to 792 of the family's 1533-position model. The record is from RNAcentral.